AUUGGACGCUGGCGGCAGGCUUAACACAUGCAAGUCGAGCGGGGUGAUGGUGCUUGCACUAUCACUUAGCGGCGGACGGGUGAGUAAUGCUUAGGAAUCUGCCUAUUAGUGGGGGACAACAUCUCGAAAGGGAUGCUAAUACCGCAUACGUCCUACGGGAGAAAGCAGGGGAUCAUUUGUGACCUUGCGCUAAUAGAUGAGCCUAAGUCGGAUUAGCUAGUUGGUGGGGUAAAGGCCUACCAAGGCGACGAUCUGUAGCGGGGCUGACAGGAUGUACCGCCCAACUGGGACUGAGACGCGGCCCAGACUCCUACGGGAGGCAGCAGUAGGGAAUAUUUGACAAUGGGGAGAACCCUGAUCCAGCCAUGCCGCGUGUGUGAAGAAGGCCUUAUGGUUGUAAAGCACUUUAAGCGAGGAGGGGGCUCUUUUGGUUAAUACCCAAGAUGAGUGGACGUUACUCGCAGAAUAAGCACCGGCUAACUCUGUGCCAGCCGCCGCCGUAA
This 503-nucleotide ribosomal RNA is filed under the name uncultured bacterium. RNAcentral's name for it is "partial 16S ribosomal RNA". It matches the Rfam family "Bacterial small subunit ribosomal RNA", at positions 30 to 523 of the family's 1533-position model. The record is from RNAcentral.